UACGGAGGAUGCGAGCGUUAUCCGGCUUUAUUGGGUUUAAAGGGUGCGCAGGCGGUCUGUUAAGUCAGCGGUCAAAGCCCGGGGCUCAACCCGGGCCGGCCGUUGAAACUGGGGAUCUUGAGUGGGCGAGAAGUAUGCGGAAUGCGCAGUGUAGCGGUGAAAUGCUUAGAUAUUGCGCAGAACUCCGAUUGCGAAGGCAGCAUACCGGCGCCCGACUGACGCUGAAGCACGAAAGCGUGGGUAUCGAACAGG
RNAcentral lists this ribosomal RNA (252 nucleotides) under uncultured Bacteroidales bacterium. Its description in RNAcentral is "partial 16S ribosomal RNA". It matches the Rfam family "Bacterial small subunit ribosomal RNA", at positions 524 to 776 of the family's 1533-position model. Lineage: Bacteria; Pseudomonadati; Bacteroidota; Bacteroidia; Bacteroidales. The record is from RNAcentral.